Molecule: transfer RNA, 68 nt
Filed under: Moschus berezovskii (Chinese forest musk deer)
Lineage: Eukaryota; Metazoa; Chordata; Mammalia; Artiodactyla; Moschidae
Description: tRNA-Val
Rfam family: tRNA
About the family: Transfer RNA (tRNA) molecules are approximately 80 nucleotides in length. Their secondary structure includes four short double-helical elements and three loops (D, anti-codon, and T loops).
Source: RNAcentral
CAAGAUAUAGCUUAAACAAAGCACCUAGUUUACACCUAGAAGAUUUCAUAUAUCACGAAUAUCUUGAA